Molecule: ribosomal RNA, 407 nt
Filed under: uncultured bacterium
Lineage: Bacteria
Description: partial 16S ribosomal RNA
Rfam family: Bacterial small subunit ribosomal RNA
Source: RNAcentral
GAUGAACGCUAGCUACAGGCUUAACACAUGCAAGUCGCGGGACCGGCGCACGGGUGAGUAACGCGUAUCCAACCUGCCCUUCACCACGGGAUAACCCGGCGCAAGUCGGACUAAUACCGAAUGGUGGAGGAUGGGGAUGCGUCCGAUUAGCUUGACGGCGGGGUAACGGCGCAACGAGGCUACGAUCGGUGGGGGUUCUGAGAGGAAGGUCCCCCACACUUGAACUGAGACACGGUCCAGACUCCUACGGGAGGCAGCAGUGAGGAAUAUUGGUCAAUGGGCGUAAGCCUGAACCAGCCCAGUAGCGUGCAGGACGACGGCCUAUGGGUUGUAAACUGCUUUUAUGCGGGGAUAGGUACCGCAUGAAUAAGGACCGGCUAAUUCCGUGCCAGCAGCCGCGGUAAUAC